GACGAACGCUGGCGGCGUGCUUAACACAUGCAAGUCGAACGGAAAGGGCCUGCUUCUGUGGGGUGCGCGAGGGGCGAACGGGUGAGUAACACGUGAGUAACCUGCCCUUGACUGGGGGGUGACGUCAGUAAACUGGAGCUAAUACCGCAUAAGAACUCCUGCUGCAGGGUGGGGGUUGGAUAGUUUCGGCGUCUGGGGGUAGACGCGCGGCUUAUCAGGUUGUUGGUGGGGUAGUGGCUUACCAAGGCUUUGACGGGUAGGCGGCCUGGGAGGGUGACCGGCGACCAUGGGACUACGGUACGGCCCAGCAGCCUCCGGGAGGCAGCAGUGGGGAGUAUUGUACAGCAAGGGGAAGUCUGCUGACGAAGCGCUGCGGGCGGGAUGAAGGCCUGCAGGUGGUCAACAGCUUCCGUAGGUGACGAAGCGGGAGUGACGGUAACGGGUAAAGAAGCACCGGCUAACUACGUG
Molecule: ribosomal RNA, 468 nt
Filed under: uncultured bacterium
Lineage: Bacteria
Description: partial 16S ribosomal RNA
Rfam family: Bacterial small subunit ribosomal RNA
Source: RNAcentral